AUUUUUCUAGUAUCAUAACAGUAUAGGUGACUUCCAAUCACCCGGUCUUGGCUUAAAUCCAAGGAAAAAUA
This 71-nucleotide transfer RNA is filed under the name Careproctus cypselurus. RNAcentral describes it as "tRNA-Gly". Lineage: Eukaryota; Metazoa; Chordata; Actinopteri; Perciformes; Liparidae. The record is from RNAcentral.